RNAcentral lists this ribosomal RNA (806 nucleotides) under uncultured bacterium. RNAcentral's name for it is "bacterial SSU rRNA". It matches the Rfam family "Bacterial small subunit ribosomal RNA", at positions 56 to 858 of the family's 1533-position model. The record is from RNAcentral.
UGCAGUCGUGCGAGAAAGUAUCUUCGGAUAUGAGUAGAGCGGCGGACGGGUGAGUAACGCGUAGGAAUCUACCUAGUAGAAGGGGAUAGCCCGGGGAAACUCGGAUUAAUACCGUAUACCUCCUUUGGGAGAAAGAAGGCCUCUCUUUGAAGCUUUCGCUACUAGAUGAGCCUGCGUAAGAUUAGCUUGUUGGUGAGGUAAAGGCUCACCAAGGCGACGAUCUUUAGCGGGUCUGAGAGGACGAUCCGCCACAUUGGGACUGAGACACGGCCCAGACUCCUACGGGAGGCAGCAGUGGGGAAUAUUGGACAAUGGGCGCAAGCCUGAUCCAGCCAUACCGCGUGUGUGAAGAAGGCCCUAGGGUUGUAAAGCACUUUAAGUUGGGAAGAAAAGUUAUUGGUUAAUACCCAAUAACCGUGACAUUACCUUCAGAAUAAGGACCGGCUAAUUCCGUGCCAGCAGCCGCGGUAAUACGGAAGGUCCAAGCGUUAAUCGGAAUUACUGGGCGUAAAGCGCGCGUAGGUGGUUUAUUAAGUUGGAUGUGAAACCCCCGGGCUCAACCUGGGAACUGCAUCCAAAACUGAUUCACUAGAGUACGAUAGAGGGAGGUAGAAUUCACAGUGUAGCGGUGGAAUGCGUAGAUAUUGUGAAGAAUACCAAUGGCGAAGGCAGCCUCCUGGAUCUGUACUGACACUAAGGUGCGAAAGCGUGGGUAGCGAACAGGAUUAGAUACCCUGGUAGUCCACGCCGUAAACGAUGUCAACUAGCUGUUGGGAAACUAUGUUUUUCAGUGGCGCAGCUAACGU